GGUGGCAGCUGCUGUUAAUUCAAGUGAGGGGGAGAUUCCCAGUCUGUUACAUGCAUUCCUGCAGCGGAGCUCUAGCCUUGACAACCUGCUAGUUCGCCAUCUUGAGAGGAUCCCUUUGACUGAAAAAAAUGUAGAACUCUUUCCUAUCAAUUGACAGAUCUAUGCCUGAAGAUGAAAUUGUUUCCAGAGGAAAAGUACUGGUUGAAAUAUACCCUACAGAUCUCAAAGAAGAGUAUGUUAAUAAAUUUUUAUUAUUUUCGAGAUUGUUUCCUGAAAAGAAAAUCAUGACUGAACUGCUUGCUGCACAAAUUGAAAAAAAUCUAGUUACACGUUUUCCCAAUGUAUGU
Rhineura floridana is the source of this 347-nucleotide long non-coding RNA. RefSeq lists it as uncharacterized. The transcript is spliced from 3 exons. Lineage: Eukaryota; Metazoa; Chordata; Lepidosauria; Squamata; Rhineuridae. The record is from RefSeq and is a predicted model, not a curated record.